GAUGAACGCUGGCGGCGUGCCUAAUACAUGCAAGUCGAGCGAACAGACGAGGAGCUUGCUCCUCUGACGUUAGCGGCUGACGGGUGAGUAACACGUGGAUAACCUACCUAUAAGACUGGGAUAACUUCGGGAAACCGGAGCUAAUACCGGAUAAUAUAUUGAACCGCAUGGUUCAAUAGUGAAAGACGGUUUUGCUGUCACUUAUAGAUGGAUCCGCGCCGCAUUAGCUAGUUGGUAAGGUAACGGCUUACCAAGGCAACGAUGCGUAGCCGAACUGAGAGGGUGAUCGGCCACGAUGGAACGGAGACACGGUCCAGACUACUACGGGAGGCAGCAGUAGGGAAUCUGCCGCAAUGGGCGAAAGCCUGACGGAGCAAAGCCGCGUGAGUGAUGAAGGUCUUCGGAUCGUAAAACUCUGUUAUUAGGGAAGAACAAAUGUGUAAGUAACUAUGCACGUCUUGACGGUACCUAAUCAGAAAGACACGGCUAACUAAGUG
This 497-nucleotide ribosomal RNA is filed under the name uncultured bacterium. Its description in RNAcentral is "partial 16S ribosomal RNA". It matches the Rfam family "Bacterial small subunit ribosomal RNA", at positions 28 to 507 of the family's 1533-position model. The record is from RNAcentral.